UACGUAGGGAGCAAGCGUUGUCCGGAUUUAUUGGGCGUAAAGAGCUCGUAGGCUGUUUGGUAAGUCGGAUGUGAAAACUCCGGGCUCAACUCGGAGACGCCAUUCGAUACUGCCAUGACUAGAGUCCGGUAGGGGGGUGUGGAAUUCCCAGUGUAGCGGUGAAAUGCGCAGAUAUUGGGAGGAACACCAAUGGCGAAGGCGGCUCACUGGCUCGUAACUGACGCUCAGGCGCGACAGCGUGGGGAUCAAACAGG
This 254-nucleotide ribosomal RNA is filed under the name uncultured bacterium. RNAcentral describes it as "partial 16S ribosomal RNA". It matches the Rfam family "Bacterial small subunit ribosomal RNA", at positions 524 to 776 of the family's 1533-position model. The record is from RNAcentral.